This 5707-nucleotide long non-coding RNA is filed under the name Zea mays. RNAcentral's name for it is "long non-coding RNA (ZMAY_LNC005531)". Lineage: Eukaryota; Viridiplantae; Streptophyta; Magnoliopsida; Poales; Poaceae. The record is from RNAcentral.
AUUUACUCGAUGACCAAUCAAAUAAAUGACCAGGUUUUUGGUCGAGGUGGUAGGGUCAGUAGUCUUGGAUGGGUAGGAGAACCGAUUAGCUCGAGUAAUCAUGACUAAUCUGAUGACUUAUAAACAGUGAGCAUGACUAGUAAAGAUAAGUAAAAAAAGCUAGGUCUUUAGUUUUACACAACACAAGGACUAAAAGGUUCUAGAGAAACUUGGCUCAUUGUCUCGACAAUGAGAAAUCACAAGAAAUUGUGAAAAGAGUCGGAGGUAACUUGCCCUGUGGAGUAGAGAUGAACCAGCAAUAGCAGCAGCUCGACCUUGUAGUAACACACAACAAUAUACCUUGCACCAUAGGAGUGUUCACGGAAGCACUUCACAGAAGAUCCCUGUUGUGGCCACGUUGCACGGUCCAGUAGCAUUGUCUAAGAAUAUAAAGUCAACCAGCUUUUGGGAUUUGAAGACAAAGCUUAAGCAACCCAAGAUCUGGUUUCUCUCAACAUAAACAUAUUCCUCCACGAGUAAGUUUCUCCUGAACUUGUCUGCCUAUUUUCUGGAAAACAAAGACAAUGGUUAGUUUAAGACUUGAAUAUUCCCAAGUGGCCAUACAUUGUUUAAAAUCAUCACACAAGACGUAAAAUAUUAUAUAUUCCUUAAAACAAAGUUUUCGUACAAAACUGACAUCUAGAUUCCUUUCUCGAAAUUUUUUUCUUUAAAAGGCGUGAUUACUAGCUAGUGGGUCCAACGGCCAGCCGUACGUGGGACAUGACAGGAACUAGCAGGAACGAGUGAUUCCAGCAUUCAGAUUUGUCCUCUGCCUGAAAACAAGUAUUAACAAUUGUUCUUUGAUUCUUUAAAAAAGAAGCGGUCGUUUCUACUUAUUUAUGCAAAAAAAAAGAAUUCUCCUCUUCAGGACUACUCUUUAGGGCUCGUCCAGGAACCCAUUUUUCCAAGGUGUUUAUAUUUUCUCAAAAAAAUUAGUUCAUUUUUUCUUAGAAAAAUAGAAAUCCCUUAAAAAAUCGAGUUCCUAAACUAGCCUUUAGGAGGAGAAAAUGUUACGAGUAGCUUGCCUAAGAGAUAACUACUCUAUCCGGUUCAAUAAAGCUUACAAUUUAAGUUUUUUUAGGAGUCAAAAUUUUAAGUUUAAUCACUACAUAAUAACAGUUGAAGGACAGGGCUCAUAUGGUGGCGAGAAGCCUUUACACUACACUACCUAUGUUUAAUUAAGUCUCUCUGCGUAGAGAUUAAGCUCGUCUCAAUUAUUCCUUUCUUAGAUCUCACUGUGGGAGCUGUUAGCACACCGAACGUUUCACUUUGUACUAAUAUUUAUACUAUACAUGUCUGAUAUUAAAUAAGUAUAUUAGAUCAAUAUAGAAUAUUUUCUUAUAGUAAGCUUAUUUAGAGACAAAUAUUAAAAGUAUCUUAUAUAAACUUCACCAGUCAAAUUUACGAAAAAAUAAUUUGUGUAAAUAUACUUUUUGGACGAAGCGAGUAGAUGAAUGUAACAUGGAGUCAUUGGACAGAUAUGUUAUGAUACAGUGCCACAAAGGGAUUUCAUAGAAACGUCAAAAGUUGACAAAAAAAAUGAAUGUAAUGUAGGGAGGGAUUAUUUCAUACAUCCAAAGCCAAAGCCAAAGCCAAAGAUAUAUACGUAGGAGGCUAUUGCACUAUAAGUUUGGUUUAGCACCAAUGAGAAAUAUAUAAUUAGAACAAAAUUUAAUCUUGGUCCCCCCUAUAAAUACUCAACCCAAUGCUACAAAUCUAGAUAGAGGGCAUCCAUCAUUUAGAAAGCAGCACACGCAGAAAUAAAAAUAUGAAUGAAAUGGAACGGAGCAAGUCAAAUCAGUCCCCAAUCUAUAGAUUUAUCCUAGCUAUAGAUAACAUAUAUAUUCACAGCAUCAUAAAAAAAAUAAUACAGAACAGGCAUGCUCCAAAAGGGCAGCUAACAGAAGCAUCAUGAAGCUUAAAAGGCAUGUCCAUCCACAGGCAAAGUGCAGGCCGCGCAUACACUGAACUUCCAGAUCAGGCUUUAAUGCUUCGCUUGAUCUUUCCCUACAACUAGUCACGUAAUCUAUUGAAUUUUGAUGUGAUAAGAACGGAACUAAAGUCAAAAAGACCAAUGCGAUCAACCAAGCCAUCAGUUUUUAAUUGACAACUUACCAAGAUUCCUUUAUCCCAGGCCACUUUUAUCGAUUAGUUAAUCUUUUCGAUGCUAAUCGUAGAGGCAACUAUCAUUCCUACACUUCAAAUCUUCUUUGGCCUUUCUUGAUGCUCUAGCUGUGAGAAUAUAUUUGUGUAAAAAGUGCUUUGGACUUUUAAUGGCUGUUACUUGAAUGGAACAAGGCAGGGUCCAACAAAGGAUGAUCAUGCUCAAGAUGCUCUGGAUCAAACUGAUGGUGACAUUAAGCUUUGUAGGCUUAGUGGAAGAAGUAGAGAGCUGGAAACCAGCAGCACUUAGGGUGCGGCAUCUUGGAAGGCUAGCUGCGGUCCUCCUGACCUGUCUAUGGAUAUAUUAUUAGAACACAUAUUGCAAUAGUAAUCUAUAAUAAAAUGAAAGCCCUCAUCAAAAAGCAAAGUUUUGGUCAACUCAUAGCAGAUACUGAACUUCGUAUAAACUAUGAGACUUUUCAAAUUUGAAUAGCAGCACCGCCACAACACUAGCACCAUGUCUAUAUAUUACUGUAUCAUGUAAUAAUAAUAAUCCCUUGAACUCGAAUUUUGCUUUAAUCUAGAAAAAUAAAUUGGGUCAAAGCGAAACAUGACAAUAUGAAAUAACUACCUUGACAUGUAAGUUAUGAUCAGAAAGGAAUUUUACAUAUGCUCUGAGGAGAAUGGUGAAGUCUUGCACCAAAAUCCUCCAAUCCCCACUACUAAUAAUUACUGGACUCUUGUGCAUGAGAGAGAUGCCUUAGUUACUGGACUCUUGUGCACGCUCUAUUGGUCAAUAGAAACGUAAAGGAUCCAUCCACUUAAUCGUAAACUCUGGAGACUAUGAGUUAAUAUUUGCCGCUAGCAAAGUUAAAGAUCAAGACCUAAAGAAAAUCUGCAUAAAGUAAAAAGUAACAGGAGAUCCUGGUAGGUCAAAAAGCAAACUCCUAAUUGAGAUUUCUCAUAUCACCAGAUAUAAGCCAAAAAGAAAUUACAGUUUCAGCUGAAAAUUUAUGGACGUAGAACAGCUAAAUAUCAACAAUAAUAAGCCUUUGUCGGUUUGUCCUAAACAAGUUGGGGUAGAUUAGAGUUGAAACCCAAUAAAAAACAUAAGUUAAGUUUCAAAUACAUAGAUAGCCCAUUUUUUAUGUACUCUUAUUAGAUUAAAGCUUUAGAUAUAUUCCAUAAAUUUAAGUGUACUCAUAUUCAAGACAAAUCUUUGGAUAUAUUCCAUCAUUUUAAGUCUCUUUUUACUCCAUAUCAACUUCAGCCUUCUGCUACCUUUUUUUCUAUUGCUAUCGUGCCUUAGGAUCCUAAUACACAUUGGUCCCCUCUACAGGUCUUCGUUAGACAUAUUCAAACUAUCUUAAUCGGUAUUAGACAAGCUUUUUUCAAUUGAUGCUACCCCUACCUAUCACUUGUAUCAUCGUUAUACACUCGAUCCCUUCUUGUAUGUCCAUAAAUCUAAUGCAACAUAUGUAUUCUCAUAACACUUAUUUGCUGAACAUAUCACCUUUUUAUAGGUCAAUAUUAUGCAACAUAUAACAUAGCAAGUCUAAUCAUCAUCAUAUAAAAGUUAUCUUUUAGCUUCUAUGAUACUCUCUUAUCAAAUAUAAUGCUAGAUGCUACUUUAUCCACCCUAUUUAUAUCCUAUGGCUACCACUUCACCAAUAUCCUCGUCUCUCUGUCACAUUGAUUCUAAAUACUGAAAGGUCUACUUCCUCGUGUGUAGUAAUGCUUAAGUCACAUCUCAUAUAUUUGGUUUUAGUUCUAUUGAGUCUAAAACCUUUGAAGUAUAGAGUAUCCCGCCAAAAUUCUAGUUUCUUAUUUACUCAUGUCUGACUUUCAUCAACUAGCACUAUAUCAUCCGAAAAAGACAUAUACCAAAGAAUAUCUCAUUGUAUAUCCCUUGUGACCUCAGCCAUCACCAAUGCAAAAAGUUAAGAGCUCAAAGUUGACUCUUGACGUAGUCCUAUUCUAAUCGGAAAGUCAUAUAUGCCUCCAUCACUUAUUCAAACACCAGUGGCAACAUUGUUGUACAUAUUCUUAAUGAGCCCAAUGUAUUUUGUUGGAACUUUAUGUUUGUUCAAAGGCCACCAUAUAAUAUUCUUUAGUAUUUUGUCAUCGAAAACAACCACCAACCCAGUAAUCAACUCUACAUUGUCAUUAAUCUACUUUUCUGUCUAAAACAAAAGCAUAACAGGCUAACAGCUUACUGUUACCCUCAAAUAACCAGUAAUUUUCUUUUCAUUUAUUUAUACAAAUGAAAAACAUCCUGCUGUUAUCAACUUUAAGCGACAGUUACAUUACAGAUAAUUUGUUAAACUUAAUUUGUUCAAUUCUGUUAUCAACUUUUGAUUCCUCUGCCCAACAUCUGCAAAGCUUACCUGGACACCAUUACCUUCCAACUAUCACUUUGAAAUUGUUGAAUUUACGACUACGGCAUCGUAAAAUUUCUUUUUGUUCCUGAACAGCAUGCCUAAGAAAGAAACAAAAGAUUAGCAGCAUGGGAUUUCCAUGCGCACAUGUCAAGUCUAUUCCCAGGUUCAUGUCCCAGCCACCGUCACUUUCUCAAAAGAACAAAAGCUAGGAUACAAGCAAACUUUUCCGUAAAAAAGGUGAAAGCAAAGUAAAGCAAGAUUGUUUUGACCCUAAUGAGUUCAUGGUCCCCUUUGACUACACAGAUGCAAAACAGUGUACUAAUCUACAGAAGCCACAGUCCAUUGGUAUAGAUGCCAUGCUCUCUCUAACUAACUCAGCUUUUGUAACUGGAGAUCAAAAUAAAUCCUCAGAUGCCAUUCGAGGAACGACCAAAGAAAACCCACCCAUGCGUGGACGGCUGGACCACAUUCCUCAAGUGCUUGGUCCAAGACUCUCUAGGCAAACUUUUGACCGCGGUUGGAAGAAACCAAAAACUGAACGCAACCAAUGCGAGCGAAAGCAAUCGUGCACUGAACAUUCAGUGUUUCACAACUGCCAGUCCCUUCCCCCAAGAGGCCAUGGCUCGUUUUAGCUACAGGCUCGUCAUGGAAUCGUGCCAGUUUCAGAGAAGGGUCACGCACAAUGCGACAGGGCACGACCAGAACAGUUUUGUCGCAGGAUCCGACAGACUGUUUCAGAUUAUGCCUGAAAACAGCUAGAGGUUCAAACACUGCAGAAUUCAGACACGAAGCAGAACUGAAUACCUUACUAUUGGUCUUGACACAGAUGUGGAAAACAAAAAAAAGGUGAACUUUUUUCGUUGUUUGAGGUGGAAAGUAGAGCUGGCUUGUUUUUUGGACUGAUCAGUUUGGUCAGAAUAAAAUGCCAAAAGCAUCUCAUAACCGCUAGAAGAGGUGAAGAGCACGGCAUGUUUAAAUACUCGAGGACUGGUUGAGAUGCUGCUGGUCCGUACCGAUGGCGUAGCCGCUGGAGAUACUUCCUCGAUCUUCCGUGUGCAGCGCCUCUCUGGAAUGAUGCCAAAUCCGCCGUCGGAUCGCGACUCGGAACUACCGCCGCCGGCGACGCAUCUCGCUACGAGGACGCGGCGGGGCCGGGCUACGUGGAGAGAUGAACGACAUUCUUC